CUGGAACGCGCCCCGGCGCACCCAGAAACCCUUUGUGAACUUAUACCUUACUGUUGCCUCGGCGCAGGCCGGCCUCUUAGCUGAGGCCCCCCGGAGACGGGGAGCAGCCCGCCGGCGGCCAACCUAACUCUUGUUUUUACACUGUAUCUCUGAGCAAAAAACAUAAAUGAAUCAAAACUUUCAACAACGGAUCUCUUGGUUCUGGCAUCGAUGAAGAACGCAGCGAAAUGCGAUAAGUAAUGUGAAUUGCAGAAUUCAGUGAAUCAUCGAAUCUUUGAACGCACAUUGCGCCCUCUGGUAUUCCGGAGGGCAUGCCUGUUCGAGCGUCAUUUCAACCCUCAAGCCUGGCUUGGUGUUGGGGCACUGCUUCGAGAGAAGCAGGCCCUGAAAUCUAGUGGCGAGCUCGCUAGGACCCCGAGCGUAGUAGUUAUAUCUCGUUCUGGAAGGCCCUGGCGGUGCCCUGCCGUUAAACCCCCAACUUCUGAAAAU
Molecule: ribosomal RNA, 489 nt
Filed under: Diaporthe sp. Eu005
Lineage: Eukaryota; Fungi; Ascomycota; Sordariomycetes; Diaporthales; Diaporthaceae
Also listed under: 4 other names
Description: eukaryotic LSU rRNA
Rfam family: 5.8S ribosomal RNA (bases 176-329)
Source: RNAcentral